GAUGAACGCUGGCGGCGUGCCUAAUACAUGCAAGUCGAGCGAACAGACGAGGAGCUUGCUCCUCUGACGUUAGCGGCGGACGGGUGAGUAACACGUGGAUAACCUACCUAUAAGACUGGGAUAACUUCGGGAAACCGGAGCUAAUACCGGAUAAUAUAUUGAACCGCAUGGUUCAAUAGUGAAAGACGGUUUUGCUGUCACUUAUAGAUGGAUCCGCGCCGCAUUAGCUAGUUGGUAAGGUAACGGCUUACCAAGGCGACGAUGCGUAGCCGACCUGAGAGGGUGAUCGGCCACACUGGAACUGAGACACGGUCCAGACUCCUACGGGAGGCAGCAGUAGGGAAUCUUCCGCAAUGGGCGAAAGCCUGACGGAGCAACGCCGCGUGAGUGAUGAAGGUCUUCGGAUCGUAAAACUCUGUUAUGAGGGAAGAACAAAUGUGUAAGUAACUAUGCACGUCUGGACGGUACCUAAGCAGAAAGCCACGGCUAACUACGU
RNAcentral lists this ribosomal RNA (496 nucleotides) under uncultured bacterium. Its description in RNAcentral is "partial 16S ribosomal RNA". It matches the Rfam family "Bacterial small subunit ribosomal RNA", at positions 28 to 506 of the family's 1533-position model. The record is from RNAcentral.